RNAcentral lists this ribosomal RNA (429 nucleotides) under Acidobacteriota bacterium. RNAcentral's name for it is "Acidobacteria bacterium partial 16S ribosomal RNA". It matches the Rfam family "Bacterial small subunit ribosomal RNA", at positions 355 to 776 of the family's 1533-position model. The record is from RNAcentral. Lineage: Bacteria; Pseudomonadati; Acidobacteriota.
UGGGGAAUUUUGGACAAUGGGGGAAACCCUGAUCCAGCCAUCCCGCGUGUGCGAUGAAGGCCUUCGGGUUGUAAAGCACUUUUGGCAGGAAAGAAACGUCAUGGGUUAAUACCCCGUGAAACUGACGGUACCUGCAGAAUAAGCACCGGCUAACUACGUGCCAGCAGCCGCGGUAAUACGUAGGGUGCAAGCGUUAAUCGGAAUUACUGGGCGUAAAGCGUGCGCAGGCGGUUCGGAAAGAAAGAUGUGAAAUCCCAGAGCUCAACUUUGGCACUGCAUUUUUAGCUACCGGGCUAGAGUGUGUCAGAGGGAGGUAGAAUUCCGCGUGUAGCAGUGAAAUGCGUAGAUAUGCGGGGGAACACCGAUGGCGAACGCAGCCUCCUGGGAUAACACUGACGCUCCUGCACGAAAGCGUGGGGAGCAAACAGG